UGCUUUUGAGAUUCUCUCUUUGCGAACAAGCCCGUUCCCGUCUGAUCUCGGAAGCUAAGCAGGGUUGGGGCCUGGUUAGUACUUGGAUGGGAGACCACCCAGGAAGACCAGGUGCUAUAGGUGU
This 124-nucleotide ribosomal RNA is filed under the name Pteropus vampyrus (large flying fox). Lineage: Eukaryota; Metazoa; Chordata; Mammalia; Chiroptera; Pteropodidae. The record is from RNAcentral.